AUAAGUCUUUGGGGAUAGGUGAAAUUCCUUACCGGCGGUAAAGUCCGCGAACCUUUUUGGUAUGAAUCGGUGCAAUUCCGAUACCGACAGUAGAGUCUGGAUGAGAAAAGACGAGG
Molecule: non-coding RNA, 116 nt
Organism: Veillonella parvula DSM 2008
Lineage: Bacteria; Bacillati; Bacillota; Negativicutes; Veillonellales; Veillonellaceae
Source: Rfam